UGGUGACACAGUUGACUGCGGUCUUACUGAGACUAUGGUUGCAUACCUUUUCCAAGGAUCCUUCAAAAAGCAGGUUAAAUUCAACCAAUUUGUGUCAAGGAUGAAGGAAUCUUCAGUGACGCUGACUCUACAGACUGUCUCUCCAGAAGACUGGCAACCAUCUACUUCGUCAACUUUAAUAAGCAAUGAAAAUACUUUGAGACUGCCAGCCUCUUUUGAAAUUCCAAGAUUUCCCAAAAAUCUGCAACUAAAACUGGACAACAAAGAACCGUGCCAUAAAAAUCCAAGGGACAGACACACAAUAAUCAGAGUUCUAUAUGAAGCUGUGGCACAGUAUACUAUGUAUCCCACAAAUUCUGAAUAUGUGCAAGCUGUGAAGACGCUGGUAAUGAAGUAUCCUUUCCUCAAGGAUCGUGAGGG
Molecule: long non-coding RNA, 420 nt
Organism: Pelmatolapia mariae (spotted tilapia)
Lineage: Eukaryota; Metazoa; Chordata; Actinopteri; Cichliformes; Cichlidae
Exons: 3
Source: RefSeq, a predicted model, not a curated record